This is an RNA transcript of Bubalus bubalis (water buffalo), 1462 nucleotides long. RefSeq lists it as uncharacterized. The record is from RefSeq and is a predicted model, not a curated record. NCBI's taxonomy places the organism in Eukaryota, Metazoa, Chordata, Mammalia, Artiodactyla, Bovidae. The transcript has 7 exons.
GUUACGGUUUGAGGGUCAUCCCCUAGCACCGGGGAGUCACUCAAGGUUUUGCGGCAACAUUGUGUCCGCGAGUGUAGCCGGGAUGGGGGAGCCUAGCGCAGCGGGUUCACACGAGCUUCGCAAAGGGGCCGCGAGGUCGAACCGCCGGAGCGCUGGGGGCGCGGGCGGGUGGAGAGCCGCAGGAUGCGUUGUCAUGGAGAUGCCUGUGACGUCACACCGGUCGGGCCGCAAGACCUUCCUUCUCGACCCAGUGGAUGGUCACACUGGGAACAAAAUGGACCUGCCAUUCAGAAGAACUGGGUGACCUUGAUGGAUUCUGAGAGGAGCCUGGGAGCUCUGGAGAGGCCGACCUACACACACAAGUUACCAUGAGAUGUGGCCGCCUCUGAAACUGCAUCUCCCUUUACAGCUUGGUCAACAUUGUCUUGAAGUGGAGUUACCAGCAUCGCUCCCUCCCAACUCCUCUGCUCUCAGAAGCCGGCCCUCUGGACUUCGCCUCCGCCUUCUCUCUGCAGCCUCUGCUCCUGGUUGCUCCUGGACUCCAGGGCCCAGCGCGCCGACCCCCGGGAUUCUGGAGGGAAGCAAGUGACAUGAACCAGCACAGAGUUAAGUGAAAGGUCCACCCCCGGCCCCCGAGCCAUGGCUGGUCUGCGGAACGGCCAUCGCAGCUGCAUCCGGGCCGCAUUCACGGCCAGCACCAGGGCUGGCUUCCAGAAGAGGCGGAGAAACAGGCUCCAUCGCCUCAAGGCCAGUCACAAGAAGAAUCAUCUGGACUUUGUUGAAGGCAUCUGGAGAGAGCUUUUAGAUCCUUACGACGCUGACUGGGAAGACACCCGUGGUCACACCUCCUGUCAUUUCAACGGCUGCUCCUUGGGUGCUUCGAACUGUGAUGGGCCUCUGCACACGCUCAAGUCCAGGGGUCCAGGGGACGUGAGCUUAGAAGACCCCCUCUUGGCGAACCUUCCAGUCCUGGUCCUGACGGCCACAGGCUGGGCCCCUGCAGCCCCGGAGGCCAGCGACGUGGACAUGCAACCUGCGGAGGCCGGUGGCCUGGAGGCGCGGGGUCGGAUGGCCCGGCUGCCUGGGCUCCCAGAGGACUCGGGGAUGAUGGAGGAAGACCGGGGAUCCCCCGAGGCUGGCAGACCCCAGGGCAGGGCCAGAGGGUCACGGCCGCCCCCUAGACUCGGGACUGAGAGGGACAGGGGGCCCAAGCUUGCCCUCUCCAAGAGGAAACUGGAACUUUUACUUGCAGAGCCGGAGAAGAGUAAGCGAAAGAAGCAGUGUGUGGCCUAGAUCAGGUGAGCGGGGCGACAGGUGACAUGGGCCAGGGCCUCAGAGGCGAGGACAGCGUUGAUGAGCAUAGCAAAAGAGCUUCCAUGAAGCAUGUGGCUCCUUUUGUGUCUUCUUGUUCAAACAAUGGAAAUGUAUCAUGAAGUUUCAGGAGCUGAUGGUCUGCGGAUGA